UACGGAGGGUGCAAGCGUUAUCCGGAUUCACUGGGUUUAAAGGGUGUGUAGGCGGGUAUUUAAGGCAGUGGGGAAAUCUCCAGGCUCAACCUGGAAACUGCCAUUGAUACUAUUUAUCUUGAAUAUCGUUGAGGUUGGCGGAAUAUAUCAUGUAGCGGUGAAAUGCAUAGAUAUGAUAUAGAACACCGAUUGCGAAGGCAGCUAACUAAGCGAUUAUUGACGCUGAGGCACGAAAGCGUGGGGAUCAAACAGG
Molecule: ribosomal RNA, 253 nt
Filed under: uncultured bacterium
Lineage: Bacteria
Description: partial 16S ribosomal RNA
Rfam family: Bacterial small subunit ribosomal RNA
Source: RNAcentral